GACGAACGCUGGCGGCGUGCUUAACACAUGCGAGUCGAACGGAAAGGCCCUGCUUUUGUGGGGUGCUCGAGUGGCGAACGGGUGAGUAACACGUGAGUAACCUGCCCUUGACUUUGGGAUAACUUCAGGAAACUGGGGCUAAUACCGGAUAGGAGCUCCUGCUGCAUGGUGGGGGUUGGAAAGUUUCGGCGGUUGGGGAUGGACUCGCGGCUUAUCAGCUUGUUGGUGGGGUAGUGGCUUACCAAGGCUUUGACGGGUAGCCGGCCUGAGAGGGUGACCGGCCACAGUGGGACUGAGAUACGGCCCAGACUCCUACGGGAGGCAGCAGUGGGGAAUAUUGCACAAUGGGCGGAAGCCUGAUGCAGCAACGCCGCGUGCGGGAUGACGGCCUUCGGGUUGUAAACCGCUUUCGCCUGUGACGAAGCGUGAGUGACGGUAAUGGGUAAAGAAGCACCGGCUAACUACGUG
Molecule: ribosomal RNA, 468 nt
Filed under: uncultured bacterium
Lineage: Bacteria
Description: partial 16S ribosomal RNA
Rfam family: Bacterial small subunit ribosomal RNA
Source: RNAcentral